AGAGUUUGAUCCUGGCUCAGAAUCAACGCUGGCGGCGCGCUUAACACAUGCAAGUCGCACGAGAAAGUGGAGCAAUCCAUGAGUAAAGUGGCGUACGGGUGAGUAACACGUGGAUCAUCUACCUUUUAGUGGGGAAUACCUCCGGGAAACUGGAGACAAUACCGCAUAAGCUCGUGAGAGGAAAGCCGAAAGGCACUGAAAGAGGAGUCCGCGGCUGAUUAGUUUGUUGGCGGGGUAACGGCCCACCAAGACGAAGAUCGGUAGCCGGCCUGAGAGGGCACACGGCCACACUGGCACUGAAACACGGGCCAGACUCCUACGGGAGGCAGCAGUGGGGAAUCUUGCACAAUGGGGGAAACCCUGAUGCAGCGACGCCGCGUGAGCGAUGAAGCCCUUCGGGGUGUAAAGCUCUUCCGACGGGAACGAUAAUGACGGUACCCGAAGAAGAAGCUGCGGCUAACUACGUGCCAGCAGCCGCGGUAAUACGUAGGCAGCAAGCGUUGUUCGGAAUUACUGGGCGUAAAGAGUGUGUAGGCGGUGUUCUAAGUCUGUUGUGAAAUCUCCCGGCUCAACUGGGAGGGUGUGGCGGAGACUGGAAUGCUAGAGUAUGGGAGAGGUAAGCGGAAUUCCUGGUGUAGCGGUGAAAUGCGUAGAUAUCAGGAGGAACACCUGUGGUGUAGACAGCUUACUGGACCAUGACUGACGCUGAGACACGAAAGCGUGGGUAGCAAACAGGAUUAGAUACCCUGGUAGUCCACGCCCUAAACGAUGCAUACUUGGUGUGAGCCAUUCAUUUGGUUCGUGCCGGAGCUAACGCGUUAAGUAUGCCGCCUGGGGAGUACGGUCGCAAGGCUGAAACUCAAAGGAAUUGACGG
This 875-nucleotide ribosomal RNA is filed under the name uncultured Terriglobales bacterium. RNAcentral's name for it is "bacterial SSU rRNA". It matches the Rfam family "Bacterial small subunit ribosomal RNA", at positions 8 to 916 of the family's 1533-position model. The record is from RNAcentral. Lineage: Bacteria; Pseudomonadati; Acidobacteriota; Terriglobia; Terriglobales.